GAAGUAAAAUGCUGGAUUCAAACAAAGGCUUGUACAAUCACUGAGUUGGAAAAAAUUUAAUAAAAAACAAUAAACUUACAUCUAAAUAUGUACAAGUCUGGUAAAUGAAGAGAAAGUAUUAUCACCUACACAAACAAUAUAAAAGCUCAUGACCAGACGCGCUACUACACUUGUAUUAUGUACUUGUGUUUACAAACUGUAGUAAACCAUAAAGAUCAAACCCUGCAUACUUUUAUGACUUGCAAGAAGGUUUUUUGCUGACAUGCCCGUUUGAUAUUACACACAUACUACAACAUGGUCAAUUGGUCAGUAACUUGGCAUAAAUAGUUUUCGAAAGCAAAGCAUGUAAGACUAUUAUUAAGCUGUUUAUGCAUCUUCUGCCUGCAGGAUAUCCUUCUGGCUGGACGCACACACGUUCGCGCGCUUGCUGCGACCGGAUUUAGGCUUGUUUGAAUAAGGAUAACGAUAGCAAAACGCAUCGCGGGUAGCGUGUGUGCGGUGUAGAGAUGCAAGCGCCCCGGUUCGACGUAUGAUGCGUAUUAGUAAAUCGAUUGAGGCGUGGGCGCAGCACAGUACACUGUGUAUUGACAUAAGGUUGCUACAACCUGCACUACUUUAAAUACUAUACAACGUAUACAGCGUUCUUUCUAACGUAUUCGGACUGUAAGCAAAGGGGAGCUUGGACAACGUGUUAACAUUAGUACGGUAAUGCUUUUGUCUAAACAGACCUGCCGACUUUCUGCGCAUACUAGUUUGCUGAGCUGUUAAUUCUACCUAGCCAGAGGUGCCUUUACGGUCGUUCGUUGACGAAAUAAUAGCCACAACCGACGCUGAGUAAGCCUGCGCAGAACAAUAUGCCUCAAGCUAUGACAAAGCGGAAAGAAUAUACGCAAGGCACGCGGCCGAUUUCGCUAUAGAGAGAGCCGAAUGGGCGAGUAAAUUCAACCACAGCAACGAACCGUUCGUUCUGUGUUCGGUAGAAAAAGGGCCGGUGUAGCGAGAGAAAGUAAGAGACAAAAAAACGACUAACUGCCUUUGCCACGCACGUACGCAUCCCAACGUAGUGAACAAAAGGUGUUUCACUACUUGAAUAAGCUCGCAAAAAUAUUCCGAGACCCACUACGAGUUACGAGAUCACACAAAGGGCAAAUCGAUUGCGGACUUUUGCGGCAGCCAUUCGAUUGCGAUUUCGCUGCUGAAGUGUUUUGCGGUCUGCCAGACUACUUAGCGACAAUUAGUCGUUUUCGCGACCAGUGAACGCCGCAAAUUACAACCGGCCUCAUGGCGCUUAAAUUCAAAUGAGAUGCCAUGUAUGUUUGGUCAAUAAAUUAAACACAAGAUGAGCAAGUUACAGUUCAAACCCAAAUUAAAUAUUAAUAAAAAUUACGGAUUUCUUGGCAAUAACACAUACGAUAUUAAUAUCCAAUCUAAUGCAUACAAUGAAUACUUCUAAAUCGAGUGGUAAAAAUAAACAGCAUUGUAUUCGGUGGGUAAAGAGCACCGUAUGCUGGCGAAGACGCAGAAAACUUAUAAUCGCUAGAGGGGGCAAUUAAGUCAGUCUUAACCAACGCAUCAUGUCAACGGUUGUAAUAAUUACUCAAAUAAAUAAACAUAGCAAUUAAAUUAACCAAAAUAGUCAGAAUUUUAAAAAUGAAAGCACUAAUUCUGCAGGUUUACUUUUAACUGUAUUUUUUUAUAAUUUAUUUAUAAAAAGCUAACAAUACGGAGAAUACUAGCAGUUGUAAAACAUUUCUAAGGCGUUUAAAUUAACAUCUAGCACAAUUGCCAUUGUUUAAAUGUCUGUAUGUGACGUAACAAUAGCUUAUUUAUGUGGUAGCGAUUCACUGGGUACACGGGCUUUACCAACUCAAAAAAUAUGUAUACAAAAUAUAUGGUUUACCAAAGCAAAAAUUAAAAAAUUUAGUGACAAACAGAAUAAUAAUCGCUAAAAUAUUCACUGAUUCAGACCCGGUAAUUUCCCACUGCACAAGCGCUUAAUUAAAACGAUGUUCUGAGCUAAAUAUCGCCAUAGCGGUAAGCCCAUAUGUGUUGUGGUGUUUAGAGAUUAGUGACAAACUAAAACAAUACCCGGAAACGGCGUUUGGCCGGAUUUUCAUACACAAAUAUAACGACUGUUAGGCUUAGUUGAGUUUGUUUUAAAUUCCGGGAUUCUUAGGUACAUUGCUUUACAAAGUGAAGCUUGAUUUCAUCGGACAAGCGGGCAAGGUUCAAGGGUGCGAACUAUACGGCUGGGAACUUUUCGGCGGUUGCUUUACGUCAUUGUGUUCAACACAAUAGUUAACUGUGGUGUCUCGGCCAAUACGAAAAGCAAAUAAACCCAAGAAACCGCAGUGCUAAUUAAAAACCGUUUAUCUUAUGCAUUUGGGGUGGUGGGAAAACAAGACGUAAGGUAAGGAGACAUUAGUUUACGAAAAAGCGAAUGCUACACAAGUAAUGGCACGUAAACAAGAGAGUCUCUGUUUUCCGACAACAAAUGGUACAGUGCUGAAAUACCAAGUGUGUAUGUCUUACACGGUGAGGUAUUUUUAGCUGAUUACGCGGAAAUUUUGACACAAAGAAAGAACAGAGUAAUACCAUGGUGACGUUGCGGCGACGGAAUGUUGCAUUUGAGAGUUUUUUCGUUUUUUUUGUUUACCCAAAACUUACUAAGUGGAGAGUGGUUAUACCGAGUCGACAAACACACUCCUUCGAAACA
Ciona intestinalis (vase tunicate) is the source of this 2716-nucleotide non-coding RNA. Lineage: Eukaryota; Metazoa; Chordata; Ascidiacea; Phlebobranchia; Cionidae. The record is from RefSeq and is a predicted model, not a curated record.